RNAcentral lists this ribosomal RNA (497 nucleotides) under uncultured bacterium. RNAcentral's name for it is "partial 16S ribosomal RNA". It matches the Rfam family "Bacterial small subunit ribosomal RNA", at positions 28 to 507 of the family's 1533-position model. The record is from RNAcentral.
GAUGAACGCUGGCGGCGUGCCUAAUACAUGCAAGUCGAGCGAACACAUGAGGAGCUUUCUCCCCUGACGUUAGCGGCGGACGGGUGAGUAACACGUGGAUAACCUACCUAUAAGACUGGGAUAACUUCGGGAAACCGGUGCUAAUACCGGAUAAUAUAUUGAACCGCAUGGUUCAAUAGUGAAAGACGGUUUUCGUGUCACUUUGAGCUGGAUUCGUGCCGCAUUAGCUAGUUGGUAAGGUAACGGCUCACCAAGGCUACGAUGCGUAGCCGACCUGAGAGGGUGAUCGGCCACACUGGAACUGAGACACGGUCCAGACUCCUACGGGAGGCAGCAGUAGGGAAUAUUCGGCAAUGGGCGAAAGCCUGACGGAGCAACACCGCGUGAGUGAUGAAGGUCUUCGGGUCGUAAAACUCUGUUAUUAGGAAAGAACAGAUGUGUAAGAAACUACGCACGUCUUGACGGUACCCAAUCAGAAAGCACCGGCUAACUACGUG